GCGUGCGCUGAGGCGCUGCUGAGCGCUGACUGGGUGCGAGCGGGGAAGCUGCUAACCUGACCCGGAUUGGCGCUGAGGUGGCCUGUGGGGCAGGGCAGAUGAUUCUGGACCAGAUGAAGCCUGAGGAGCCUUCCAGCUCUAAGAUAGCAGGAUAGGAGACUUCUAAGCCUGGAACUGCAGAAGACUUGCCAGCCCCCCAGCACAAUGUCAGGAAGCCAUACACCUUCUGCCUGUGGCCCUUUCUCAGCCCUGACUCCGAGCAUAUGGCCCCAGGAGAUCCUGGCCACGUAUACACAGAAGGAAGAGUCAGCAGAGCAACCAGAUUUCUACUACGAUGAGUUUGGUUUCCGUGUGUACAAGGAAGAAGGUGGUGAGCCUGGCUCCAGUCUGCUGGCGAGCUCCCCUCUGCUGGAGGAUGCUCCACAGAGGCUGCGGUGGCAGGCCCACCUGGAGUUCACCCAUAACCACGACGUGGGGGAUCUCACCUGGGACAAGAUUGCAGUCUCUCUACCCCGCUCUGAGAAGCUCCGCUCCCUGGUGCUGGCCGGCAUCCCACAUGGCAUGAGGCCACAGCUAUGGAUGCGGCUCUCCGGGGCUCUGCAGAAGAAGAGGAGCUCUGAGCUGUCCUACCGCGAGAUUGUGAAGAACAGCUCCAACGAUGAGACCCUUGCUGCCAAGCAGAUCGAGAAGGACCUGCUGCGCACCAUGCCCAGCAACGCUUGCUUCGCCAGCAUGGGCAGCAUCGGGGUGCCCCGCCUGCGCAGGGUGCUCCGGGCCCUGGCCUGGCUCUACCCAGAGAUCGGCUACUGCCAGGGCACUGGUAUGGUGGCCGCCUGCCUCCUGCUGUUCCUGGAGGAGGAGGACACCUUCUGGAUGAUGUGCGCCAUCAUCGAGGACCUGCUCCCCGCCUCCUACUUCAGCACCACCCUGCUGGGCGUCCAGACUGACCAGCGGGUCCUGCGCCACCUCAUUGUCCAGUACCUGCCUCGCCUGGACAAGCUGCUCCAGGAGCAUGACAUAGAGCUGUCCCUGAUCACACUGCACUGGUUCCUCACGGCCUUCGCCAGCGUGGUGGACAUCAAGCUGCUUCUGCGCAUCUGGGACCUGUUUUUCUAUGAGGGCUCCCGGGUGCUGUUCCAACUCACACUGGGCAUGCUGCACCUCAAGGAAGAAGAGCUGAUCCAGUCAGAGAACUCAGCCUCCAUCUUCAACACGCUAUCGGAUAUCCCGUCGCAGAUGGAGGAUGUGGAGCUGCUUCUGGGGGUGGCCAUGCGGCUGGCCGGCUCCCUCACCGACGUGGCUGUGGAGACUCAGCGCCGCAAGCACCUGGCCUAUCUCAUUGCAGACCAGGGUCAGCUCCUGGGGACCGGCACCCUCACCAACCUCUCUCAGGUUGUUCGCCGCAGGACCCAGCGGAGGAAGUCUACCAUCACUGCUCUGCUCUUCGGAGAGGAUGACCUGGAGGCACUCAAGGCCAAGAACAUCAAGCAGACGGAACUGGUGGCUGACCUCCGGGAAGCCAUCCUGCGUGUGGCGCGUCACUUCCAGUGCGCAGACCCCAAAAACUGCAGCGUGGUGAGUGACCAGCUCCCUGGGCUGGUACCAAACAUGGCCCUAACUUCUCCAACCCCCUUGGUGGGCCUGUGUUCACUCUGGCAGGAGCUGACUCCAGACUACAGCAUGGAGAGCCACCAGCGGGACCACGAGAACUACGUGGCAUGUUCGCGCGGCCACCGGCGCCGAGCCAAGGCCCUGCUGGACUUUGAGCGGCACGAUGACGACGAGCUGGGCUUCCGCAAGAACGACAUCAUCACAAUCGUGUCUCAGAAGGACGAGCACUGCUGGGUGGGGGAGCUCAACGGCCUGCGAGGCUGGUUUCCAGCCAAGUUUGUGGAAGUCCUGGAUGAGCGCAGCAAAGAGUAUUCCAUCGCGGGGGACGACUCAGUGACGGAGGGAGUCACCGACCUCGUGCGAGGGACCCUCUGCCCGGCCCUUAAGGCCCUGUUCGAACAUGGGCUGAAGAAGCCAUCCCUGCUUGGGGGCGCCUGCCACCCCUGGCUGUUUAUAGAGGAGGCUGCAGGCCGGGAGGUCGAGAGAGAUUUUGCCUCCGUGUAUUCCCGCCUGGUGCUCUGUAAGACCUUCAGGAGCUUUGGUGCCCCCUCAGGUUGGACGAAGAUGGCAAGGUCCUGACCCCAGAGGAGCUGCUCUACCGGGCUGUGCAGUCCGUGAACGUGAGCCACGAUGCAGUGCACGCACAAAUGGACGUGAAGCUCCGCUCACUGAUCUGCGUGGGGCUGAAGUGAGUGUGGAAAAGGGGUUGGAGGAGAACCCUGGAGUAGGGGGGACCCAGCCCAGCAUCAGGAGGGUCCUUACAGGGGACCCUAAAGGACAAAGAACCUCAGGGGCUCAGGUCCUUCCCUGAAGAGGGUGGUCUGGGAGCUGCUGAGGGACGGGCUGGAGGCCUCUACCGUGGCUGCAGCCAGAAGGGCCUGGAGCCGCCCCUGCUCCCCACUCCUGGCCGUGUCCCCAGUGAGCAGGUGCUGCACCUGUGGCUGGAGGUGCUCUGCUCCAGCCUGCCCACCGUGGAGAAGUGGUACCAGCCCUGGUCCUUCCUGCGCAGCCCGGGCUGGGUCCAGAUCAAGUGUGAGCUCCGAGUCCUCUGCUGCUUUGCCUUCAGCCUCUCCCAGGACUGGGAACUCCCUGCGAAGAGAGAGGUGCAGCAGCCCCUGAAGGAGGGCGUCCGGGACAUGCUGGUGAAGCACCAUCUCUUCAGCUGGGAUGUGGAUGGGUGACCCCUCCUCCCCAGCCCAGCCUCGGGCCUGGGUCUGAGGUGGCCCAGGACCCCAAGCUGCAGAGCCCAGGGAAAAGCAGCUCCAGAGCCCUGGCCCCGGGAUAUCAGGCUGCCCCACUCUAGGUUCCCCAGCACAUCCCAUGUGGUGGCAGCAGAGGGUGCCCUGCCCUACCAGGGUCCUUAGAGAUGCUCUGGGCCAAACCACAGUUUGUACCAAAAGCCUUGUGAGGUGGUGGGGAGCCAUGUCUGUGCCAGUCUUUGCUCAGGAAGAGGGAAGGGGAUGGGGGUGACUAAUAAGCUCCCGUCCUCCUUGGUUUAUAAAUAAACUGUCUUUGAGAACGCACCUCCUGUCUUCUGUACAGCCAGGGCUGCAGAGCUGUCUUCAUGUCCAAGGCUCUGCCCUUCUUUGACUGGUCUAGAAGGCACUGCCUGGCCCCUCAGAUGCUGGGACACAACAGGCCCAGGACCCCCAGCUAUGCCACCCACCCCUUCCAUGGAUUGAGUAAGAUGCACUAACA
This is an RNA transcript of Piliocolobus tephrosceles (Ugandan red Colobus), 3309 nucleotides long. It is a transcript of the gene named small G protein signaling modulator 3, with no coding region annotated. The record is from RefSeq and is a predicted model, not a curated record. NCBI's taxonomy places the organism in Eukaryota, Metazoa, Chordata, Mammalia, Primates, Cercopithecidae. The transcript is spliced from 20 exons.